AUCCAGUUGACGAGUCUCAAAUAGGACGAAACGUGCGUGAAAGUGGAU
This is a non-coding RNA of Schistosoma rodhaini, 48 nucleotides long. The record is from Rfam. NCBI's taxonomy places the organism in Eukaryota, Metazoa, Platyhelminthes, Trematoda, Strigeidida, Schistosomatidae.